RNAcentral lists this ribosomal RNA (443 nucleotides) under Bacillus sp. F186. RNAcentral describes it as "bacterial SSU rRNA". It matches the Rfam family "Bacterial small subunit ribosomal RNA", at positions 117 to 545 of the family's 1533-position model. The record is from RNAcentral. Lineage: Bacteria; Bacillati; Bacillota; Bacilli; Caryophanales; Bacillaceae.
GUGGGUAACCUGCCCAUAAGACUGGGAUAACUCCGGGAAACCGGGGCUAAUACCGGAUAACAUUUUGAACCGCAUGGUUCGAAAUUGAAAGGCGGCUUCGGCUGUCACUUAUGGAUGGACCCGCGUCGCAUUAGCUAGUUGGUGAGGUAACGGCUCACCAAGGCAACGAUGCGUAGCCGACCUGAGAGGGUGAUCGGCCACACUGGGACUGAGACACGGCCCAGACUCCUACGGGAGGCAGCAGUAGGGAAUCUUCCGCAAUGGACGAAAGUCUGACGGAGCAACGCCGCGUGAGUGAUGAAGGCUUUCGGGUCGUAAAACUCUGUUGUUAGGGAAGAACAAGUGCUAGUUGAAUAAGCUGGCACCUUGACGGUACCUAACCAGAAAGCCACGGCUAACUACGUGCCAGCAGCCGCGGUAAUACGUAGGUGGCAAGCGUUAUC